RNAcentral lists this ribosomal RNA (497 nucleotides) under uncultured bacterium. RNAcentral's name for it is "partial 16S ribosomal RNA". It matches the Rfam family "Bacterial small subunit ribosomal RNA", at positions 28 to 507 of the family's 1533-position model. The record is from RNAcentral.
GAUGAACGCUGGCGGCGUGCCUAAUACAUGCAAGUCGAGCGAACAGACGAGGAGCUUGCUCCUCUGACGUUAGCGGCGGACGGGUGAGUAACACGUGGAUAACCUACCUAUAAGACUGGGAUAACUUCGGGAAACCGGAGCUAAUACCGGAUAAUAUAUUGAACCGCAUGGUUCAAUAGUGAAAGACGGUUUUGCUGUCACUUAUACAUGGAUCCGCGCCGCAUUAGCUAGUUUGUAAGGUAACGGCUUACCAAGGCAACGAUGCGUAGCCGACCUGAGAGGGUGAUCGGCCACACUGGAACUGAGACACGGUCCAGACUCCUACGGGAGGCAGCAUUAGGGAAUCUUCCGCAAUGGGCGAAAGACUGACGGAGCAACGCCGCGUGAGUGAUGAAGGUCUUCGGAUCGUAAAACUCUGUUAUUAGGGAAGAACAAAUGUGUAAGUAACUAUGCACGUCUUGACGGUACCUAAUCAGAAAGCCACGGCUAACUACGUG